This 391-nucleotide ribosomal RNA is filed under the name Liposcelis bostrychophila. RNAcentral's name for it is "partial 12S ribosomal RNA". Lineage: Eukaryota; Metazoa; Arthropoda; Insecta; Psocodea; Liposcelididae. The record is from RNAcentral.
UAAACUAGGAUAGAUACCCUAUUAUUUCUAUUACUCAUAUUCUAAAGACUAACAAUGAUCUGUGGCGGCUCUCUUUCAAAUUAGAGAUCCAUGAACCUAAUGGACAACCCACCCAAAUCUUCGUAUGUUUAGCUCUACAUUUUUUAUAUCGCCGACUGAAAAAAAAAUCAUAAAUUUUUAUUUUGUCAGUUUAAUACUGAUAAGUCAGGUAAAGAUGAAGAUUAUAGCAUUGAAAGUUUGUGGAUCAAAAAUUUUCAGGAAUUAGGUAGUUGAGACGCUAUAAAAAUGAAUUUAAAAGUAAAGCUUCUUAAUUAAAGUGACUUGAAAAUUGUUAAAGAGAGUGUACAUACCGCCCGUCACUUCCCCAUAGGAAUAAGUCGAAACAUAGUAA